This 1142-nucleotide ribosomal RNA is filed under the name Brasilonema sp. IS-ADG01-03. Its description in RNAcentral is "bacterial SSU rRNA". It matches the Rfam family "Bacterial small subunit ribosomal RNA", at positions 56 to 1245 of the family's 1533-position model. RNAcentral also lists the same sequence under 1 other name. Lineage: Bacteria; Bacillati; Cyanobacteriota; Cyanophyceae; Nostocales; Scytonemataceae. The record is from RNAcentral.
UGCAGUCGAACGGAGUUCUUCGGAACUUAGUGGCGGACGGGUGAGUAACGCGUGAGAAUCUGGCUUCAGGUUCGGGACAACAGUUGGAAACGGCUGCUAAUACCGGAUGUGCCUAAGGGUGAAAGAUUUAUCACCUGAAGAUGAGCUCGCGUCUGAUUAGCUAGUAGGUGUGGUAAGAGCGCACCUAGGCGACGAUCAGUAGCUGGUCUGAGAGGAUGACCAGCCACACUGGGACUGAGACACGGCCCAGACUCCUACGGGAGGCAGCAGUGGGGAAUUUUCCGCAAUGGGCGAAAGCCUGACGGAGCAAUACCGCGUGAGGGAGGAAGGCUCUUGGGUUGUAAACCUCUUUUCUCAGGGAAUAAGUACUGAAGGUACCUGAGGAAUCAGCAUCGGCUAACUCCGUGCCAGCAGCCGCGGUAAUACGGAGGAUGCAAGCGUUAUCCGGAAUGAUUGGGCGUAAAGCGUCCGCAGGUGGUUUUUCAAGUCUGCUGUCAAAGAGUUUGGCUUAACCAGAUAAAGGCAGUGGAAACUGAGAGACUAGAGUAUGGUAGGGGUAGAGGGAAUUCCUGGUGUAGCGGUGAAAUGCGUAUAGAUCAGGAAGAACACCGGUGGCGAAAGCGCUCUGCUGGACCAAAACUGACACUGAGGGACGAAAGCUAGGGGAGCGAAUGGGAUUAGAUACCCCAGUAGUCCUAGCCGUAAACGAUGGAUACUAGGCGUUGCCCGUAUCGACCCGGGCAGUGUCGUAGCCAACGCGUUAAGUAUCCCGCCUGGGGAGUACGCACGCAAGUGUGAAACUCAAAGGAAUUGACGGGGGCCCGCACAAGCGGUGGAGUAUGUGGUUUAAUUCGAUGCAACGCGAAGAACCUUACCAGGGCUUGACAUGUCCGGAAUCUCUUGGAAACGAGAGAGUGCCUACGGGAGCCGGAACACGGGUGGUGCAUGGCUGUCGUCAGCUCGUGUCGGGAAAUGUUGGGUUAAGUCCCCCAACGAGCGCAACCCUCGUUCUUAGUUGCCACCACUUCGGGGGGGCAUUCUAAGGAAACUGCCGGUGAACACCGGAGAAAGGGGGGGAUGACUUCAAGUCAGCCUGCCCCUUACGUCGGGGGCUACCACGUACUAAAUUGCUGGGAAAAAGG